This 255-nucleotide ribosomal RNA is filed under the name uncultured bacterium. RNAcentral describes it as "partial 16S ribosomal RNA". It matches the Rfam family "Bacterial small subunit ribosomal RNA", at positions 524 to 777 of the family's 1533-position model. The record is from RNAcentral.
UACGAAGGGGGCUAGCGUUGCUCGGAAUCACUGGGCGUAAAGGGUGCGUAGGCGGGUCUUUAAGUCAGGGGUGAAAUCCUGGAGCUCAACUCCAGAACUGCCUUUGAUACUGAGGAUCUUGAGUUCGGGAGAGGUGAGUGGAACUGCGAGUGUAGAGGUGAAAAUUCGUAGAUAUUCGCAAGAACACCAGUGGCGAAGGCGGCUCACUGGCCCGAUACUGACGCUGAGGCACGGAAGCGUGGGGAGCAAACAGGG